UGCUGGGGAUGGAGACCAGGGCCUCACUGAGCCACGAGAAAGGGUCUGGCUAAGUUGCUGAGGCUGGCCUCGAACUGGUAAAUUCUCCUGCCUCCGCCUCCCGAGCAGCUGGGAUGACAGGUGCUGUGAUGUGGUGGCCGAGGGAGGUGAGCGGAGCCUGCGUGGGGGACACGGCUGAGCAGACCUGUGCCUUGAAGCAAAUGCUUUCAAGCUGCACACCAGGGCCUGCUGAGGGCAGGUUCUGAGAAGGUCCCAGGGCUUCUCGGAGCAUCUGCUCUGCCAGCGCGGGAGAGGUGGUGUGGGGCCAGCUCAGCUCUGUGUCCCCAGGGGCUCCCGCCUUGGACAUGGUCAUCAGCCUCACUUUUCAGGAGAGGAAACUGAGACCCCAGGUAGGAGGACUUGCCCUUUAAUGACCACUUUGCAUUGUCCCUCUCUGAGUAGCAGGUGACAGAGGAGUGGCAUGUGGAUGACACACAGCUGGUCAACCCUGGAUGGCUAUGAGCCAGCCUGGAAGGAGCCCAUGUGGUGGGAGGCGGUGGGAGAGGGCCUCUGAGCUGCCCCAGCUGGAACUUCCCUGGACCCCCAGACAGCAGAGGGCAGAAGGGACAGCGGCACCCAGAGACAGCUGCUUCUGUUCCUUUAAUGGCUCGUGACUAGAGGUGACUGUCUCCUGUGAAAAGUGAGGCUGAGAACUUGGGGGUCAAGUCCAACCCCCAACUUGCCAACAGGGUGACGUCAGACAGGGUCCCCUCUCUCUGAGCCUCAGCUUCCUCCUCUCUGAGGAAGACCUCUGAUACCCACUGCAGGGCUGCUGUGGGCUUCUGGGAAGUGGCCCUGGAGGAUGCCCCAGGUGGGCACCACUGGACGUCUUCUCUGCCGUGUGCCCAGGCACUGUUCCAGGGCCACCCUGAGCCAGCUCGGCAGCUGUCACGUCCACCUUCGGAGCUGAUGUGCAGACAAGGAGGUGGAGGAGAAAGGGUUAGAGCAGGUAGUGUCGCCCACAGCUGCUGAGGGGACUCCAGGCCAGCUCCAGAUCUGUCCCCACUGUCCGCAUGGUCUAGUUUAGUUGAGGGCUGGCGCAGGCCGGUGUGUCCCUGUGAUCGUGCACGUUAACAACAGUCUCUGGUAUCACCGAUGCCAAAGGAGCUGCUCCUCAUUUUGUCCUCACAAGCACCCAGGAGGCACCCUGUGGCUUAGGUCUGGAACUGAGGCUCAGAGAUGGGGUGGGGUGUGCUGCUGACAUGGACUGGCAAAGCUCCGCCUCGGCCAGACAGGCGCUGCCCCGAGGGGCUGAGCAGGGCUCCCUUGCUUCUCCUGCUCCCGGAGGGCACAGGGACCUAAAUGGCAAUCUGCUGUGUGCCGGGACAGCUGAGUAGUGCCUGGCCUCUCCAAUGCCGGGGCGAAUGGUCCAGCACCCGCCGCCCAGAGCAGAGAUGCCUGGAGCCUGGCAUGGCAGUUGCUGCCAGUCCAUGGCUGGAAGCCCGAGAGAGCAGGGUCCAUACCCAGGUCAUACCAAGGCUGCAGCAGAAAGUGCCUCCGAGCAAGGAGACUGUGUUCUAAGAGCAAGUGCCUCUUUCUAAAACCAAAAUAGUGUUCCCCCUUCACUCCAGACCCGGUGGCCAAAUUAUAGUAACUUCCUAGAUCACGGAGAAGGAAAAAAGCCCCAUUGCCAAGAAGAAAAACCACGCACAGCCUGGCGCGGACAGGAGAGUGACCAGGGUCCUCAAGGAUCCUCUGUCUAAGUCCUGAGGAGGAAUUUGGACUUGAACCAGCUGAAUGCCAGCAUUCUGAAUGGAAGCCCAGGUCACCCUCUGGACGCUCCUGCUGCCUUCUGAAGAGCCGGCUGGGUGCCGGGGCUGGCAUUGUGUGGGGCUUCCCCCCUGCACUGCAGCUGAGCCACCACGAGAAAUGCCCGUGGGUCUCCACAAAGCCCCAGCACCGUCUCCAGGGACCGUGUGCCUACCACAGCUCUCACUGUCGGCCCUGUGUCCACCCUCUCACCCCCACCCCCCAUUUCUCCCGAGAAAAGGAAAUCCAGCGAGGAGAGGUGUCCAGGGUCAUGUGCCUGCAAGCAGCUGAGUGGGGCUUUCCAGCUGGGAUCUGGCCGACACAGUGGCUGGAGUCCCCCAAAGCCACCACCCACCUGUCCACUUCUGAUGUCCCAGGUGGGGGAAGAUUCCAGAGGUGGGGACUGGAGGAAGGACAGCAAUGGAUACAGGUUGAUGGACGGGUGGGCGGGUGAGUGACAGGCACACAGCAAACAGGAGAGGCUGCAGGGAGGUGAGCACUGGACCGUGCAGAGCCUGAGCGAAGAUGGAGGCUGGGUGCUGGAGAGGAAGCCACCCAGGCCACUGUGAGGCUGAGGGGAGGGCUGUGCUCAGCCUGUGCUCUAGGGAGCAAUGGGAUGGCUGGGUGGCCUUGGAGGGGACAGUGAGGAAGAUACCAAUGAGGAAAGGCCACUGCACACUGCCCUGGCGGUCAUGAAGACCUGGCCCCAGGUGUGGCCGAGGUGCCAAGGGAAGAGAUGGAGAGCAUAUGGAGGGACUGGGGACACCCGGGAUGGGGGGCGGGCACGAGGGAGCCAGAGCAGACACAGGGACAGAUUGGUGCAGGACAUCAGGUGGGCACUCAGGAGGCAAGCCAGUCACUGUCCACUUAGGUUCUUAAAGCUCCCUGCCCCACCCCUCACUGACCAGCACACUUUGAGCUUAAGUUCCCAGCUUCCCCGGCGAUGUGUGGGGCUGGUGGCUUCCCUGGCCUGGGCUGCCCUGCCUCUCCGUCAGGGUGUCUCCAGCAGGCCACACGCGUGGUGCUUUUGUGCAAUCGGCCAUCUACGAAAUUCAGGGUGGCUCACCCCAGCACCUGGAGCACGAGAGCAGGGGCUGGCCCGGCACCAGCCCCGCGGGGUGCCCAUCCUGGGCGGAGGCACAGCUGGCAGCAGACACUCCUGCGGAGUCACAGGUUCUCUGCUCGAGGGACAGGAAUGGAAUUAGGUUGUCCUUGAGAGUCUUCUCACCAGAGCCCCAGGGGUGGCUGGCCCUGAGCUGGCUCACUGAGGCAACGACAGGGUCUCCUUGUCAGUCGAGGAGUUCAGACGCUGCAGGUGGGGGGCGGCAUAGUCGCCUCUCAGCCGACCAGCCCAGGGACGAGUGGCCUUCCCUUCCCCUCCCCCAGCGGCCAGUCCCCCACUUCCUUCUGCCCCAGGUGGUGGCUCUGCUGCCUCCUGGCAAGUUUGGCUCUUUCCCAGGGGAGCUCCUGAGUGUCAUCCAAGCGUCUCCAUGCGGGGCUGCCUGGGACACGGGAGCACCCUAGCUGGCCCUCAGCAGGUACUUCCCCAGGCUUCAAAACUCAAGAGGAGUGCAGGAGAGGCAGCAGAGUCUCCAGGAAGCUGCUCUUCCGCCAGGGCUCCUUGGGUGCCUCGGUGGGCAGGGCAGGGUUCACCCCAGGCCUCUGUGAGGGCAGAAUUCCUGCCUCUUUCAGCAAGCGGGGGGCCAGGGCCAGGGAGGGCUGUGGUCGCCAGACCUUCAGACCUGGCUGUCUCCCUUGGUUUGCUAACAGAGCUUCGGAGGAGACGACCUUGACCGCCUUUGAAGCCAUGAACUAGAGAGGAAG
Molecule: long non-coding RNA, 3612 nt
Organism: Marmota monax (woodchuck)
Lineage: Eukaryota; Metazoa; Chordata; Mammalia; Rodentia; Sciuridae
Exons: 3
Source: RefSeq, a predicted model, not a curated record